This 255-nucleotide ribosomal RNA is filed under the name uncultured Gardnerella sp. RNAcentral describes it as "partial 16S ribosomal RNA". It matches the Rfam family "Bacterial small subunit ribosomal RNA", at positions 99 to 355 of the family's 1533-position model. The record is from RNAcentral. Lineage: Bacteria; Bacillati; Actinomycetota; Actinomycetes; Bifidobacteriales; Bifidobacteriaceae.
CGAACGGGUGAGUAAUGCGUGACCAACCUGCCCCAUGCUCCAGAAUAGCUCUUGGAAACGGGUGGUAAUGCUGAAUGCUCCAACUUGACGCAUGUCUUGUUGGGAAAGUGUUUAGUGGCAUGGGAUGGGGUCGCGUCCUAUCAGCUUGUAGGCGGGGUAAUGGCCCACCUAGGCUUCGACGGGUAGCCGGCCUGAGAGGGCGGACGGCCACAUUGGGACUGAGAUACGGCCCAGACUCCUACGGGAGGCAGCAGC